GCACAAAGGAGACUAUAAAAGGAGCUGCGGUGAACCGGGCUCGUUCUUUUACGACGGAGCCUAAGAUAUUCUUUGUCUUGUCGGUGAGUGAGUUACAGUCGGAUGACCAAGUGAAAUAUAGGGGUGCAACGAGGAUUUGGAGGCUUCUGAGACUUGAACUUAGGGUACUGGUGUAAACUUCCUCGGAGAAGUGCGCAGCAGCUAAUGAUAUUUCGGGAUUGGAGUCUGGGCCCCAGUGAGAUUCGUACUAAGCGGCCUGACUGAAGGCCGCAUGCGUUCUAGUUCCUGAGUCCCCGCGUGGGUAGGUUUUUACAGCAGGGUUUGCAGCCUUUUGUGCUGUUCCGAAGGUACUAGAGUCACCGAAAGAGACAUCCUAUUAUAUGCACGUUCACAAGGACAAUGGCGCCAUUGUUCUUCGCGUCUUCAAAGCAGCUACAAGAAGAAACCAAGAUGGAGGGGAGCCCAAAGCAUCUGAGAGAAUUGAUAAAUGAAAGAAACAUGCUUAAAACAUGACCGUUUUAAAGGUGAAUGCUGACCAGUGAGAUGCCAGCCUGCGUGUGAAGAUCCUACAGCAGAAGUGCAUGUGAGUGGUGCUCUGUUUUGUUUUCUGCUGAGCUUACUGUCGUUGGUCUAGUCUAUGAUGAUCCUAUCCCGAACCUGAAUUCCUGUUGAAAAACCAUAAUUACGGAUCUGGCUUCUGAGAUGGACCAUUGCAAAGGACUAUUGUGUUCUUCUUUAAUGUUGGCAAUGACGUAAUGCCUGUGUUUUUGUUUUUAUAUUUUAGGGCCAGUGACACAAGAACUUGCGAGAGAUGCCAGUCCGCCUGUGAAGAUCCUGCAGCAGGAGUGCAUAGCCAGUGACACAAGACGUGCGAAUGAAAACUAGAUGUGACCAUCCAGAAAAAGCAUAGACAAAAAAAUGCAGUCUUAGUACUGGGAUGUUUGAGAUGGGGUCUAUCUACAUGUCUCUAGCUGUCCCUAUCAGGACAGCAUCUGGUGUGGCCUGCAGAGUUGAUUCCUGUACUUUUUUUUUUUUGUGGGCUGUAUGUAAAUGGAUUGUUUUGACAAUCCAUUCGACAGUGUUCUCUUCUGUGAAGGUCAUAGGUGAGCUGAUUGACAGACACAGCUGUACAGACUGAAUGCAAUCCUGACUAUAAAGCUGCAGUUCAUCAUUAUGAGCUAUUUCCUUAUUCUGGCAGUGAUUGAAAUAAAAUGGGGAGUAUUGAAAUAAAAAACAUUCAAUUGCAAA
This 1248-nucleotide long non-coding RNA is filed under the name Mus musculus (house mouse). RNAcentral describes it as "small nucleolar RNA host gene 5". The stretch from base 633 to 704 matches the Rfam family "Small nucleolar RNA SNORD50". Lineage: Eukaryota; Metazoa; Chordata; Mammalia; Rodentia; Muridae. The record is from RNAcentral.